This is a small nucleolar RNA of Alosa alosa (allis shad), 129 nucleotides long. RefSeq annotates it as small nucleolar RNA SNORA63. Lineage: Eukaryota; Metazoa; Chordata; Actinopteri; Clupeiformes; Clupeidae. The record is from RefSeq and is a predicted model, not a curated record. The transcript has a single exon.
UUGCAGGUAAAGUUACAGUGUAGCUGAUCAGUGCUACUCUGUCGUUCCCCCUGCAGAUAGAAAAUCUGUUUCUUUCUAUCCUUGUCUGCCUACAUCUCAAGACGGCCAGGGACGCUUAGUUACAGACAU